Durio zibethinus is the source of this 2250-nucleotide non-coding RNA. The record is from RefSeq and is a predicted model, not a curated record. Lineage: Eukaryota; Viridiplantae; Streptophyta; Magnoliopsida; Malvales; Malvaceae.
AUUUUUUUUAUAACGACGACGAUGAUGACAUUAUUGCGAUCGCUAUUCCAUCGUAACACCGUACGGUAUGGGACCGGAGGCGACGAAGUGGGGUCCGGGUUUUGACAUCGAAGACUUGGUAGAGACCGGAGAGGUCCGAAGCGGCUAAGAGGAGGCCGUCGAGACGGAAGGAGAGACGUGGAAGGAGGAGGAAACGUCGCCCGUCGGAGAUGGGGAGAGGGGAGAAGAGAGAAAGGGGAGCGGACUAGGCUGCAGCGAAAGGUGGGUCCGUGUGGAAAGGAGAAAAGGAGAAGAAAGAGACUGAGGAAACGAGGUUUGGGGCUUGAGUAGAUUUGAAAGAAGACCUAUAUUAGGAUUUUGGGGUUUGGGUUUGGGUUCGUGGUUUAGGUUUGAUUAGGAAGGUUUUUGAGAUUAUUGUUGUUUGUUCUGGGCUGAUUUCUGCAAUUUUUGCUGCAAAAUCGAGGUAUUUGGCGUGUUUAGGGUUUUUGAAUUUUGGCGGCGCAAUAAAACGGGGCGCUCAAGAAAAAGAAAGAAAACUUCCGUGAAGAGCCACGUGGCUAUCUUCAACAGUCUCAAUGGCCCAUUUGGCACUUUAUUGCAUUAACCCAAUACAAAAAAUAGAAAAUUGGAAAAUAGGGAAAAAUCACUACUAUGUUAAUUCCACGUUGGCAAUCCGUGGCUUCUUCCCCUGAACCAAUCAAAACAUAGUGCCCCGCCAGCAAGCCAGCUUCCCAUGCCCUUUAUAAAUUCCUACCUUUCUUCUCAUUGAUAGUCACAGAAAAGUUCACUUAAUUUCUCCAUUCUGCAUCUGCCCCAAUUUUAUUUGUUUCUUCUUCUUAACAAUAAUAAUCUAGGGUUUAAAGCGAAGAUGAGCUCAACAGGAUCAACAAAGGGUGGCAGAGGCAAGCCUAAAUCCUCCAAAUCUGUUUCCAGAUCUCAGAAAGCCGGCCUCCAGUUCCCCGUAGGCCGUAUCGCCCGCUUCCUCAAAGCCGGAAAAUACGCUGAUCGUGUCGGUGCCGGUGCCCCCGUCUACCUCUCAGCCGUCCUUGAAUACCUCGCCGCUGAGGUUCUUGAACUUGCUGGAAAUGCGGCUAGGGACAACAAGAAGAAUCGUAUCGUUCCCAGGCACAUACAACUGGCUGUGAGGAAUGAUGAAGAGUUGAGUAAACUUUUGGGGACUGUUACGAUUGCUAACGGUGGUGUUCUACCGAACAUUCAUCAAAAUCUGUUGCCGAAGAAGAUUGGUAAAGGGAAGGGUGAUAUUGGAUCGGCUUCACAAGAAUUUUAGGAGAUUCUCCUUUCAUUUUUGUAGUGUCAGAGAGUCUCCUUGUUUUGGAACUUUAUUAUAAUAUUAUUAUUAAAAAAAAAAAAAAGAAUCGGAUUGAUCUUGAUGGGUUGUUUUCUGAACUUUCAAUCGAUCCUGUAUAGUUUUAAUUUUGGGAUGGUUUUGCUUUGGUUGAAUAUAGGUUCUGCAAAUUGAAAUGCUACAUUUUCUCUUAUAGAAUCAAAUGAAUAUGUAUAAGAACAAGACUUUCAUCUGAUGAAAUGUUUGAGGAAGUUGGUGUCUUUUAUCUGGAAAUAUUAAUUCUCAGAUGAGCAACGUUUUUAAUACUAUUUACCUUGCAUUUGCAAUAAUUUUCUUUCUUUCAAGUAAGCUAGGCUUAACUUACCACCGGCCGUGAUAUUUCUGGUGUUUUAUGAUGGGUCGGAUUAUUCUGUUCGUCAAAUUCAAAUUCUGAUACUUUGCAAAGACAACCUGCCAAGGAAGAUAUUUUGAUGAUGAAUAUCAAUUGGGGAUAUAGCUCAAAUGGUAGAGCGCUCGCUUUGCAUGCGAGAGGUACAGGGUUUGAUCCCCUGCAUCUCCAAUUGGUUUUUCAUUUUUGCUUAUUAUAUCUGGUGUCGGAAUUUUCAAUAAACGACCGCAUGGAAGUUCGUAGCAGAGCCUGGGAGCAUCCUUUAUCCUCUCAUCUGAUAAGUCCCGCCAUUUUUUUCCAGGGUUUUGGUUGACAUUAGGAGGAAUGUCCCUUCGUCUAGACAGCCUUGCUCCUAAGUUGACAGUUUCAAGGCUCUCCUUGGAACUCUAGUAAUGUCUCUAUCUCUCUGAGUUUUGUCCUUAUAAGCAAUGACUUUUGGCGAGCAGAACUUUCUUCCUCAGUCAUUUCUUCUUCUCGAUCAAGCUUUUGACACCUGAAUCAACUUCUUUGACUCUGCCGAAAUGUAUCCAGUUCCUCAGCAUGCUGAAACUCAAGG